RNAcentral lists this long non-coding RNA (1480 nucleotides) under Triticum aestivum (bread wheat). RNAcentral's name for it is "long non-coding RNA (TAES_LNC023875)". Lineage: Eukaryota; Viridiplantae; Streptophyta; Magnoliopsida; Poales; Poaceae. The record is from RNAcentral.
AAUUUUAAAUGUUGGACAUAAACUUUUAACAAGGUCUCCCAACAGUAUUGACAACAAACUACAUGUAUAUUGUUACAUCAAAACGGAAGUCAAAUGCAAGCAUCUAUAAAUGUACAUAGCAGCACCCUCAUAUAGCAAUAUGGCAUGUACAACAAGUGUCGUUUCACAACUAAAAUUUCCUUAUAUGUUCAUAGGGAGUUAUGUUUGGGAUCCAAAUACCAAUUCAGAAUAGGGACCACUUUCCAGCUCAAAGUAUGGAAUCGAUUGGCUUUCAAACUUAAAUGAAAUUCUGCACAUAUUUUUGCUAUACAUAGAAUCUCAAACAUUAAGCCAGGAAAUACAGUCAAGCUCAAGUGGGGAUUAGUAACGCUGACUGGACUGCUUAAUCAUACUCCAAAUUUUAGCUUUGUUUGUCUCAGUGUUUCAGAGAGCCCUUUUAGGCCAAAACUCCAAAAGGUAUUGGAACAACACCACAAAAGGUUAAUAAAACAAAUAUGAACCUUUUUAUACUUGUAGCACCAGAAAACAUGACUUGCAGCUCAUGGAUGGUGAACUCAGAGGAUAUUUGCAGAAUAUGCUGAGUGUUGUCAACACAAACGAGCUCCCUCGGGACCCUUUGUCACCCAUCGAAUAUUUACCAUACUGGAAUCGGAAUGGCCUUCUAGUUAUCAAGACUUUAUUUGUUCCAUUGAUGACACUGCUGUAAGGAAGGAAAUAGAGAAAACAUGGUAAACAAAUUCAGACAAUGAUAUCAGGAAAGAGAGAAAUUGUGAUUUUUCCCACAUCCUUUGUAUUUUCGGGUGAACUAAAAUAAUAUUUGAACAUGUAUCUAAAAUAAUUAUAAUAGUAAAAUUCUUAAAACAGAAAGAUCUGAAGUUAAAAAGGAAGGCCGACCUGAACUUGCACCAUCAGUUUAAAUGGGCGUGAUACCCCAGAAACUGCAGUCCACUAUCAUUGCUUGUUUGCUCUAGAGCAUAUGGACAGAGCACAAUAUAUAUGUGUUUAAUGACCACAAGCUAACAACCAGACAAAUCCAAGGUGGCGUCUAAUCUUCGUGUUUGGGCUUAUCGUGCUAAGGAUGUCCAAAAGCCGCACUGCAACAACGAGCGUAAAUUCUACUCUGCCGUCUAAUUUAGGCGUUUCUCCAUUCGCACAAAUAUAAAAUUUGAAUAAUUCGCACAGGCCCCGAACCUUCUGCAUUCCUUAAUUUAAUGUUCAGGUGAGCAAAAUGCAUGUUGUAGUUUCCCUAAAAAAAGUUUGGAUGGGAGCGACUGUUGCUACAGUCACAUUAGCAGAAGGAAUAGAGGAAUCUACAGUGUUAUCCUUGAGAUCAAUAUUGUUCAUAUAAAUAAAUCUAUAGACUGUAAAAAAAUAAAUGGUGAUACUUAUCGACAGUACCUCUUUAGUAUAUGCGAGAGCCUGAGUGCAACUUCAGGUUAGUAGUCGCUGAGAGUAGCAUGUACUAUUGCAGUGCUCCUCU